GAAUUAGUGGUUAUCAACUCUUAAUUUUUAUUUUUUUUCAUUGAAUUCUCGUGUGCUCUGAGUUUGUGGAUUCAUUAGGACGGUCAAAGAUGGAGGGAAUGACUGAUUUGCAGAGCUCAUGGCUAGGGUUGGUGCAUUGGCAUCAAUGCCGAACACAAUUGUGGCCAAAAUCCCGACGAGCAUGAUUACUGUGGCGUCGACUUUUCUGCCCCCUCUUUUGUCUUCUUCUCUCUCUCCUCCUUCUCCUUUUCCCCCACUUUUCCCCCCUUCUGCCAUCCAUCCCCUUUCCCCUCUCUCUCUCUCUCUCUCUCUCUUCUCCCCUUCCCCCUCACGUUACCUCCUGCGGCCCUCCUUUUGUCCUUUCUUUCUUUUUCUCUCUCUCUUUCUCUCUCUCCCCCCCCUUGGCCGUGGGUUUGAGGAGCCGUGGCAGCGGCCAUCUUCGUUGUGCCAUUUGUGCCGUGCGACUCAUGUUUUGUCGCCAUCGUGCCUCCGUCAUCACAAGCUUGCCAUCGCCGGACAUCGAUAAAAAGAAUGGGUUGAUGAUGCGUCCUGGGAUGUCGCAAUUUAAUCGACUGCCGAGGGAUGUUCGCGCGCUUGAGGUUCGGGGCGUGACAAUUGCAGCUAUCGGAGCCGAGCUUGAGGAAAUUGAGCCUUGAUGGUAGGGGUGACAAUAGUUGGCGAGGAUCGAGGAGAGGAGGCUCAAUGCACGGUUAGGAAGGUGCUAGUUAAGGAGAUAGAAGAACACGUAAAGUGCCAGAAAAGGUAUACUUCAAUGCUAACGGUGAGAAUUUCUGGCUAAACUGUUGACUUGGUUUUUUCCGAUGAGAAUUUGAAGUGAUGUGACAUUUCUUUAAAAUAAUUUUACCCACGUAUAGGGCAAGCAACGUUUAUUUUGGCUAUUAAGUGAUUAUUUUCUACAAAA
This is a long non-coding RNA of Eucalyptus grandis, 922 nucleotides long. RefSeq lists it as uncharacterized. The record is from RefSeq and is a predicted model, not a curated record. Lineage: Eukaryota; Viridiplantae; Streptophyta; Magnoliopsida; Myrtales; Myrtaceae. The transcript has 2 exons.